This 934-nucleotide unclassified non-coding RNA is filed under the name Hevea brasiliensis (rubber tree). The record is from RNAcentral. Lineage: Eukaryota; Viridiplantae; Streptophyta; Magnoliopsida; Malpighiales; Euphorbiaceae.
UCUCUUGUUGAGGAACUGCUUCAAUGUAUGGCUCCUCAUUUGGAAGAUAGUAUGCUAAACGAUCUCAAGGCCAAGAUUCGAGCUCAUGAUCCAUCCAGGUCAGAUGAUCUCGAGACGGGCCUUCGAAAAUCCUUAAUAUGGUUGAGAGAUGAGGUCCGAGAUCUUCCAUGCACAUACAAAUCUCGACAUGAUGCUGCUGCUGACUUGAUUCAUUUAUAUGCAUAUACAAAGUGUUUUUUUAGGAUACGAGAAUACAAGACUGUAACGUCACCUCCUGUAUAUAUAAGUCCUUUAGACCUGGGACCCAAAUAUACUGAUAAGCUGGGACCUGGUACUCACGAGUAUCGCAAGACAUAUGGUGAAAAUUAUUGCUUAGGACAGCUGUUUUAUUGGUAUAACCAAGCUAAUGCAGAUCCGGAGAAUUGUCUUUUCAAGGCGAGCAGGGGUUGCUUGUCUUUACCUGAAGCUGGCUCUUUUUAUGCUAAAGUCCAGAAGCCGUCCCGGCAACGUGUUUACGGCCCAAGGACUGUGAAGUUCAUGCUGUCUAGAAUGGAGAAGCAGCCGCAGAGAGCAUGGCCAAAGGAUCGGAUAUGGUCAUUUAAGAAUAGUCCCAAUGUAUUUGGCAGUCCUAUGCUGGAUGGUAUUUUAAACAAGUCUCCCCUAGAAAGGGAGAUGGUACAUUGGCUUAAGCAUAGACCUGCAAUCUUUCAGGCCAAGUGGGAUAGAUGAAAUUUUUCGGAGCUGCAUUAGUAGGACCACACUCGCUGUUAGGAUACUGAUUGCUUAGAGAAAAGGUUUUCGAUGUUAGAAUCGAAUCCCUCCCCUUAUUGGGAAGGGGGAGAAUAGGUGAUUGCUUCUAGUCUUUGAUUUCUUUAUGCCGCCUGGUUCGUCACUUGAUUCUUGUGUACAGUUUCUAUUCCCUUUUUCAUUCUUG